Molecule: small nucleolar RNA, 67 nt
Organism: Kogia breviceps (pygmy sperm whale)
Lineage: Eukaryota; Metazoa; Chordata; Mammalia; Artiodactyla; Physeteridae
Product: small nucleolar RNA SNORD49
Exons: 1
Source: RefSeq, a predicted model, not a curated record
CAUCCUGAUGAUUCUGUAGCAAUUGCCGUCAGACGCGAGGACUGACGAUUCCUACGCCUAUCCGACC